UGGGAAGGCGAGCAGGGAUGUGAAGAGAUAAUUGCCGCAUGGUAUGAGAAGUGCCACCCGAAGUGAUGCCUCCGACAGCACAAAAGAGGGAGUGACGGCCGCUGCCGAAGCGGGAGAAGGUUUUCUAUGAAGGAGGUCACACGCCUUCACCAAAGGGAGUCGGGGAAGGAACUCAAAGGAAGAACCUGGACGCGGAAACUGCAGCAGGAGCAAUGGAGAAAUGCUGGUUACUGACUGACUUCCUCAGUUUGCUUUUUUAUUCAACUCAUGACUGCUUGUCCAGGGUGGCGCUGCCCACAGUGAGCUAGUUCCUCCCACGCCAAUCAUCAACAGAGAACAUGUUUGCCAAACAUGUCUACAGCCUGUA
Molecule: long non-coding RNA, 367 nt
Organism: Alexandromys fortis (reed vole)
Lineage: Eukaryota; Metazoa; Chordata; Mammalia; Rodentia; Cricetidae
Exons: 2
Source: RefSeq, a predicted model, not a curated record